AUGCGGUGUAACGUGCAGCCUGUGCUCGUGCACGCAGCAUGGAGCCCUCUGUCUCCAACAGCCACCGCGCUGCCGAGCGCAGCCCCGGCCUGCUCUCCACCUCGAGCACCUUGUCCUUGCUGGGUCCCGACGGCUGCUGCUGCCCUGGGCAAGGUGCCGCCAUUGCCCCCACCUCAGCCUUGUCUGGCAUCCUUUCCCAAUACAGGAGAUCCUCUGUGUGUUUUGACCCCUGAGGACGACGGAAGGCUGUGCAGCCCCCUUGCCUAUUGCCCAUCAGCCAAGAUGGCUGCCAUGUCGUGCCAGCACCCAUCUGGCCCACACGAAAUGGCCGCCCCACGGUGCCGCAGUGCCCAGCAGUCAGCCUCCUGCCCACAAAGGUGGCUGCCGUCUCCCUGCAGAGCAGCCAAACGGCAUGUGCGAGGCUACGGGCUGUCAGCUGGAGGAGGGCCGGCAGGGGUGUGGGGUGUGAGGAGCAGAGGAAACCUCGUGCACGGUGGGGAGGAGGAGGAGGAAGAGAAGGAGGCCAAGUGCCGAGAGGAUGUCAGGGACGGCCUGAGCGGGUGUGGAGGAAACAGACAAGGAAAGGAACUGGCGGAAUUGAUUGCUGUCACAGUUGUUUUAAUCACUGCCAUGCUAAAUCAUCUGUGGUAAGUUAUUUUAGAGAUCUUUCAUGACCAAUUUUUUGUUAGUAUAGAACAAGAGAUCUCAAAUGCCACUGUUUUGCUUGUUAUACUGCUAGAACAUUUUUUUUUUUACAGAGAAGGUCCUCAAGCCUGUCCAGUUUGUUAAGCAGUAAGUAUGGCUUUUACAGCUAAUAGGAAUGGGCUUUUUAUCCUCUGGCUAUUAACCCUGAUGAUAAAAGUAAAAAGAAUUUAGCAAUGUGUCUCUUUUUAGGAGUUACUUGCAUUUUGGUUUGGUGUUCUUCCUUGGCCUAAUACAUAACACGUAAAUGGGCCUGUUUGGAAAUGCCAAAAGUGGAUAUAUUGUAGCAAAAUGACUACCAAAACCAAGAGCAAAAGCCCAUUUAGUUGUAUCAGAUAUGCAGAAGGCAGUUAAUUUUCCUGUCUUUCUUUAUAUCUGUAAUUAGGCUUUGAGGGCUUUUUUGUCCAAUCUUGGGCAAAGCAUCUGGUCUCAAGCAGUUGCACACACACAUUUCUUACUGUUUUCAUAUCCUACACUUUCCAUUUUCUUUUCAUUGCCAUUUGCUUAGGAAUUGAUUUUACUUCCCACAGAGAAUUCUCCAUGAAUAAAAAUGUGGGAAUAACAUUUUAACUUAUACA
RNAcentral lists this long non-coding RNA (1280 nucleotides) under Anser brachyrhynchus (Pink-footed goose). RNAcentral's name for it is "lncRNA (ENSABRG00000000075.1)". The record is from RNAcentral. Lineage: Eukaryota; Metazoa; Chordata; Aves; Anseriformes; Anatidae.